AAUGAAAUUAACUAUUUGGUCUCUGUAUUUUUUAAAAUAUACUAUUUAGAUCUUAUAUUUUAUUUCCGUUAAACUGUUUAGUUUUUGAACUUUAAUGGUAAUUUCAAUAAUAUUUUUGAAGAGUUUUUGUGAUACAUGUUAAAAUUUAAGGACAUUACUGAAACAACCAUCAAUAUUUAAGAACGGUGAGGGAAAUUUAACCUUCCUUUUAUCAUUAUGAACUUUUUAUCUUGCAGAAUGAAGCUGUCGUCAACUAUGCUCUUAAUAUGAGCGAUGUCAAACUUGUCCCAUGU
RNAcentral lists this unclassified non-coding RNA (293 nucleotides) under Hevea brasiliensis (rubber tree). The record is from RNAcentral. Lineage: Eukaryota; Viridiplantae; Streptophyta; Magnoliopsida; Malpighiales; Euphorbiaceae.